RNAcentral lists this ribosomal RNA (252 nucleotides) under uncultured bacterium. RNAcentral describes it as "partial 16S ribosomal RNA". It matches the Rfam family "Bacterial small subunit ribosomal RNA", at positions 524 to 776 of the family's 1533-position model. The record is from RNAcentral.
UACGAAGGGGGCUAGCGUUGUUCGGAAUACUGGGCGUAAGGCGCACGUAGGCGGAUCGAUCAGUCAGGGGUGAAAUCCCAGAGCUCAACUCUGGAACUGCCUUUGAUACUGUCGAUCUAGAGUAUGGAAGAGGUGAGUGGAAUUCCGAGUGUAGAGGUGAAAUUCGUAGAUAUUCGGAGGAACACCAGUGGCGAAGGCGGCUCACUGGUCCAUUACUGACGCUGAGGUGCGAAAGCGUGGGGAGCAAACAGG